ACGCACUGCUAAGUGACUGGUUGUCUUCUCUAGACCUUCCAGUCUCAUUCCAGUGCAAGAUGAACUCCCUUCUAGCAGAAGGGCCAGGCCUCUUAUCCAAAGGUCUGGUUCUUUCGAAAGCUGGGAACAAUC
This is a small nucleolar RNA of Eublepharis macularius, 132 nucleotides long. NCBI's taxonomy places the organism in Eukaryota, Metazoa, Chordata, Lepidosauria, Squamata, Eublepharidae. The record is from RefSeq and is a predicted model, not a curated record.